GAUGAACGCUGGCGGCGUGCCUAAUACAUGCAAGUCGAGCGAACGGACGAGAAGCUUGCUUCUCUGAUGUUAGCGGCGGACGGGUGAGUAACACGUGGAUAACCUACCUAUAAGACUGGGAUAACUUCGGGAAACCGGAGCUAAUACCGGAUAAUAUUUUGAACCGCAUGGUUCAAAAGUGAAAGACGGUCUUGCUGUCACUUAUAGAUGGAUCCGCGCUGCAUUAGCUAGUUGGUAAGGUAACGGCUUACCAAGGCAACGAUGCAUAGCCGACCUGAGAGGGUGAUCGGCCACACGGGAACUGAGACACGGUCCAGACGCCUGCGGGAGGCAGCAGUAGGGAAUCGUCCGCAGUGGGCGAAAGCCUGACGGAGCAACGCCGCGUGAGUGAUGAAGGUCUUCGGAUCGGAAAACUCUGUUAUGAGGGAAGAACAUAUGUGUAAGUAACUGUGCACAUCUUGACGGUACCUAAUCAGAAAGCCACGGCUAACUACGUG
This 497-nucleotide ribosomal RNA is filed under the name uncultured bacterium. RNAcentral describes it as "partial 16S ribosomal RNA". It matches the Rfam family "Bacterial small subunit ribosomal RNA", at positions 28 to 507 of the family's 1533-position model. The record is from RNAcentral.